GAUGAAGAACGUAGCGAAAUGCGAUAACUAGUGUGAAUUGCAGAUUUCAGUGAAUCAUCGAGUCUUUGAACGCACAUUGCACCUCUCGGUAUUCCGGGAGGUAUGCCUGUUCGAGCGUCAUUUGUACCCUCAAGCUCUGCUUGGUGUUGGGUGUUUGUUCCGCCUCUGUGUGUGAACUCGCCUCAAAACAAUUGGCAGCCGGCGUACUUGUUUCGGAGCGCAGCACAUUUUGCGAUCCAGAUCAACGUACAGCGGCAUCCAAGAAGCCUUAUUUAACGCUCUUGACCUCGGAUCAGGUAGGGAUACCCGCUGAACUUAAGCAUAUCAAUAAGCGGAGGA
This 339-nucleotide unclassified non-coding RNA is filed under the name soil metagenome. RNAcentral describes it as "partial contains 5.8S ribosomal RNA, internal transcribed spacer 2, and large subunit ribosomal RNA". The stretch from base 1 to 120 matches the Rfam family "5.8S ribosomal RNA", at positions 35 to 154 of the family's 154-position model. The record is from RNAcentral.